CAGGACUGUGGCUGAUGUUCAAGGGUUCCAGCCCAGAAUGCCCCCUCUAUGGAAUUAGCACCAUGUGUCCCUGAUGAGCCGGAGGAAUCCAAAACCCAGUCCUGGCAAGGACAACAGAGGCUGGAAACACGGGGAGGGAACAUAACACAACUGGAUCUAAGCUUAAGCAAACACGUGACGAGGGAACAAGUAAAUAGGCAGACAAAAUCAUUACUGGAGUAGGAGGCUGUGGACAUCUGAAGAAAUACCACAGAGGAAGCCUACACUGCCAUCUUUUCUCAUUUUGUCUGACAGGAUCUAUAUCAAUUCCUUUUUUUCCCCUCCUUAAUUCUAUUAUUUUUAACUACAUAAAACAUUUUGUUACAGGAAAACCAGAAAACCCAGAAGAAAAUGAAAAUCAUUCACAUUCCUCCUUUCAGAGAAGGCUAUAACUAUUACAUUUUCAUUGCUUUUUUCCCAUCAACUUUCACA
RNAcentral lists this long non-coding RNA (471 nucleotides) under Rhinopithecus bieti (black snub-nosed monkey). Its description in RNAcentral is "lncRNA (ENSRBIG00000045637.1)". Lineage: Eukaryota; Metazoa; Chordata; Mammalia; Primates; Cercopithecidae. The record is from RNAcentral.